Molecule: ribosomal RNA, 500 nt
Filed under: uncultured bacterium
Lineage: Bacteria
Description: partial 16S ribosomal RNA
Rfam family: Bacterial small subunit ribosomal RNA
Source: RNAcentral
AUUGAACGCUGGCGGCAUGCCUUACACAUGCAAGUCGAACGGCAGCACGGGAGCAAUCCUGGUGGCGAGUGGCGAACGGGGGAGUAAUAUAUCGGAACGUGCCCAGUCGUGGGGGAUAACGCAGCGAAAGCUGUGCGAGUACCGCAUACCAUCUCAGGAUGAAAGCGGGGGAUCGCAAGCCCUCGCGCGAUUGGAGCGGCCGAUAUCAGGUUAGCUAGUUGGCGGUGUAAAAGCCCACCAAGGCGACGAUCUGUAGCUGGUCUGAGAGGACGACCAGCCACACUGGGACUGAGACACGGCCCAGACUCCUACGGGAGGCAGCAGGGGGGAAUUUUGGACAAUGGACGCAAGUCUGAUCGAGCCAUGCCGCGUGCGGGAAGAAGGCCUUCGGGUUGUAAACCGCUUUUGUCAGGGAAGAAACGGCUUUUUCUAAUACAGAGAGCUAAUGACGGUACCUGAAGAAUAAGCACCGGCUAACUACGUGCCAGCCGCCGCGGUAA